Molecule: ribosomal RNA, 662 nt
Filed under: uncultured bacterium
Lineage: Bacteria
Description: bacterial SSU rRNA
Rfam family: Bacterial small subunit ribosomal RNA
Source: RNAcentral
GUGCCAGCAGCCGCGGUAAUACGUAGGGCGCAAGCGUUAUCCGGAAUUAUUGGGCGUAAAGAGCUCGUAGGCGGUUUGUCGCGUCUGCUGUGAAAACGCGGGGCUCAACUCCGCGCCUGCAGUGGGUACGGGCAGACUAGAGUGCGGUAGGGGAGAUUGGAAUUCCUGGUGUAGCGGUGGAAUGCGCAGAUAUCAGGAGGAACACCGAUGGCGAAGGCAGAUCUCUGGGCCGUGACUGACGCUGAGGAGCGAAAGGGUGGGGAGCAAACAGGCUUAGAUACCCUGGUAGUCCACCCCGUAAACGUUGGGAACUAGUUGUGGGGGCCUUUCCACGGUCUCCGUGACGCAGCUAACGCAUUAAGUUCCCCGCCUGGGGAGUACGGCCGCAAGGCUAAAACUCAAAGGAAUUGACGGGGACCCGCACAAGCGGCGGAGCAUGCGGAUUAAUUCGAUGCAACGCGAAGAACCUUACCAAGGCUUGACAUACACCGGAAACGUCCAGAGAUGGUCGCCCCUUUUUGGUCGGUGUACAGGUGGUGCAUGGUUGUCGUCAGCUCGUGUCGUGAGAUGUUGGGUUAAGUCCCGCAACGAGCGCGACCCUCGUUCUAUGUUGCCAGCACGUUAUGGUGGGAACUCAUGGGAUACUGCCGGGGUCAACUCGG